Molecule: ribosomal RNA, 406 nt
Filed under: uncultured bacterium
Lineage: Bacteria
Description: partial 16S ribosomal RNA
Rfam family: Bacterial small subunit ribosomal RNA
Source: RNAcentral
AUUGAACGCUGGCGGCAUGCCUAACACAUGCAAGUCGAACGAGUGGCGGACGGGUGAGUAAUGUAUGGGAACCUGCCUGAUGGAGGGGGAUAACUACUGGAAACAGUAGCUAAUACCGCAUACCAUCGGAUGUGCCCAGAUGGGAUUAGCUAGUAGGUGGGGUAACGGCUCACCUAGGCGACGAUCCCUAGCUGGUCUGAGAGGACGACCAGCCACACUGGGACUGAGACACGGUCCAGACUCCUACGGGAGGCAGCAGUGGGGAAUAAUGCACAAUGGGCGAAAGCCUGAUGCAGCCAUGCCGCGUGUAUGAAGAAGGCCUUCGGGUUGUAAAGUACUUUCAGCGGGGAGGCGUUACCCGCAGAAGAAGCACCGGCUAACUCCGUGCCAGCAGCCGCGGUAAUUC